RNAcentral lists this ribosomal RNA (1406 nucleotides) under bacterium endosymbiont of Onthophagus Taurus. RNAcentral's name for it is "partial 16S ribosomal RNA". It matches the Rfam family "Bacterial small subunit ribosomal RNA". The record is from RNAcentral.
AGGGGCUACCUGCAGUCGACGACGCACGGACUUCGGUCUGGUGGCGAGUGGCGAACGGGUGAGUAAUGUAUCGGAACGUGCCCAGUAGCGGGGGAUAACUACGCGAAAGCGUGGCUAAUACCGCAUACGCCCUACGGGGGAAAGCGGGGGACCUUCGGGACUCGCACUAUUGGAACGGCCGAUAUCGGAUUAGCUAGUUGGUGGGGUAAAGGCCUACCAAGGCAACGAUCCGUAGCUGGUUUGAGAGGACGACCAGCCACACUGGGACUGAGACACGGCCCAGACUCCUACGGGAGGCAGCAGUGGGGAAUUUUGGACAAUGGGGGAAACCCUGAUCCAGCCAUCCCGCGUGUGCGAUGAAGGCCUUCGGGUUGUAAAGCACUAUUGGCAGAAAAGAAACGGCCCCGGAUAAUACCUGGGGCAACUGACGGUACCUGCAGAAUAAGCACCGGCUAACUACGUGCCAGCAGGCCGCGGUAAUACGUAGGGUGCAAGCGUUAAUCGGAAUUACUGGGCGUAAAGCGUGCGCAGGCGGUUCGGAAAGAAAGAUGUGAAAUCCCAGGGCUUAACCUUGGAACUGCAUUUUUAACUACCGAGCUAGAGUGUGUCAGAGGGAGGUGGAAUUCCGCGUGUAGCAGUGAAAUGCGUAUAUAUGCGGAGGAACACCGUUGGCGAAGGCAGCCUCCUGGGAUAACACUGACGCUCAUGCACGAAAGCGUGGGGAGCAAACAGGAUUAGAUACCCUGGUAGUCCACGCCCUAAACGAUGUCAACUAGCUGUUGGGGCCUUCGGGCCUUGGUAGCGCAGCUAACGCGUGAAGUUGACCGCCUGGGGAGUACAGUCGCAAGAUUAAAACUCAAAGGAAUUGACGGGGACCCGCACAAGCGGUGGAUGAUGUGGAUUAAUUCGAUGCAACGCGAAAAACCUUACCUAUCCUUGACAUGUCUGGAAUGCCGAAGAGAUUUGGCAGUGCUCGCAAGAGAACCGGAACACAGGUGCUGUAUGGCCGACGUCAGCUCGUGUCGUGAGAUGUUGGGUUAAGUCCCGCAACGAGCGCAACCCUUGUCAUUAGUUGCUACUAAAGGGCACUCUAAUGAGACUGCCGGUGACAGACCGGAGGAAGGUGGGGAUGACGUCAAGUCCUCAUGGCCCUUAUGGGUAGGGCUUCACACGUCAUACAAUGGUCGGGACAGAGGGCUGCCAACCCGCAAGGGGGAGCCAAUCCCAGAAAUCCGAUCGUAGUCCGGAUCGCAGUCUGCAACUCGACUGCGUGAAGUCGGAAUCGCUAGUAAUCGCGGAUCAGCAUGUCGCGGUGAAUACGUUCCCGGGUCUUGUACACACCGCCCGUCACACCAAGGGAGUGGGUUUACCAGAAGUAGUAGCCUACCGCAGGAGGCGUCCCGCGG